GCCGGAGUGGCAGAGUGGUUAAUGCGCUCGUCUCGAAAGCGAGUGCCCGCAAGGGCGUCCAGGUUCGAGUCCUGGCUCCGGCG
Molecule: transfer RNA, 83 nt
Filed under: Candidatus Aenigmatarchaeota archaeon
Lineage: Archaea; Nanobdellati; Candidatus Aenigmatarchaeota
Description: tRNA-Ser
Rfam family: tRNA
About the family: Transfer RNA (tRNA) molecules are approximately 80 nucleotides in length. Their secondary structure includes four short double-helical elements and three loops (D, anti-codon, and T loops). Further hydrogen bonds mediate the characteristic L-shaped molecular structure. tRNAs have two regions of fundamental functional importance: the anti-codon, which is responsible for specific mRNA codon recognition, and the 3' end, to which the tRNAs corresponding amino acid is attached (by aminoacyl-tRNA synthetases). tRNAs cope with the degeneracy of the genetic code in two manners: having more than one tRNA (with a specific anti-codon) for a particular amino acid; and 'wobble' base-pairing, i.e. permitting non-standard base-pairing at the 3rd anti-codon position.
Source: RNAcentral